GACGAACGCUGGCGGCGUGCUUAACACAUGCAAGUCGAACGGAAAGGCCCUGCUUUUGUGGGGUGCUCGAGUGGCGAACGGGUGAGUAACACGUGGGUAACCUGCCCUUGACUUUGGGAUAACUUCAGGAAACUGGGGCUAAUACCGGAUAGGAGCGCCUGCUGCAUGGUGGGGGUUGGAAAGUUUCGGCGGUUGGGGAUGGACUCGCGGCUUAUCAGCUUGUUGGUGGGGUAGUGGCUUACCAAGGCUUUGACGGGUAGCCGGCCUGAGAGGGUGACCGGCCACAUUGGGACUGAGAUACGGCCCAGACUCCUACGGGAGGCAGCAGUGGGGAAUAUUGCACAAUGGGCGGAAGCCUGAUGCAGCAACGCCGCGUGCGGGAUGACGGCCUUCGGGUUGUAAACCGCUUUCGCCUGUGACGAAGCGUGAGUGACGGUAAUGGGUAAAGAAGCACCGGCUAACUACGUG
RNAcentral lists this ribosomal RNA (468 nucleotides) under uncultured bacterium. RNAcentral's name for it is "partial 16S ribosomal RNA". It matches the Rfam family "Bacterial small subunit ribosomal RNA", at positions 28 to 507 of the family's 1533-position model. The record is from RNAcentral.